GGGCCCCCAGGGCAAAACCGGCGCGAGCCGGUGACGCAAAGCCUCCGGUCUCCCCGCCUUCACGGCCAUGGAGAUAGCGGGGCCGCCAGC
Molecule: non-coding RNA, 90 nt
Filed under: Roseateles depolymerans
Lineage: Bacteria; Pseudomonadati; Pseudomonadota; Betaproteobacteria; Burkholderiales; Sphaerotilaceae
Description: c-di-GMP sequence
Rfam family: c-di-GMP-I riboswitch aptamer
About the family: GEMM was predicted in a large-scale screen for bacterial structured RNA regulatory elements. Genes associated with GEMM are involved in a diverse array of functions, including chemotaxis regulation, signal transduction, secretion and chitin.
Source: Rfam by way of RNAcentral